GAUUGAACGCUGGCGGCAUGCCUUACACAUGCAAGUCGAACGGCAGCACGGGUGCUUGCACCUGGUGGCGAGUGGCGAACGGGUGAGUAAUACAUCGGAACAUGUCCUGUAGUGGGGGAUAGCCCGGCGAAAGCCGGAUUAAUACCGCAUACGAUCUACGGAUGAAAGCGGGGGACCUUCGGGCCUCGCGCUAUAGGGUUGGCCGAUGGCUGAUUAGCUAGUUGGUGGGGUAAAGGCCUACCAAGGCGACGAUCAGUAGCUGGUCUGAGAGGACGACCAGCCACACUGGGACGGAGACACGGCCCAGACUCCUACGGGAGGCAGCAGUGGGGAAUUUUGGACAAUGGGCGAAAGCCUGAUCCAGCAAUGCCGCGUGCGUGAAGAAGGCCUUCGGGUUGUAAAGCACUUUUGUCCGGAAAGAAAUCCUUGGCUCUAAUACAGUCGGGGGAUGACGGUACCGGAAGAAUAAGCACCGGCUAACUACGUGCCAGCAGCCGCGGUAAUACGUAGGGUGCGAGCGUUAAUCGGAAUUACUGGGCGUAAAGCGUGCGCAGGCGGUUUGCUAAGACCGAUGUGAAAUCCCCGGGCUCAACCUGGGAACUGCAUUGGUGACUGGCAGGCUAGAGUAUGGCAGAGGGGGGUAGAAUUCCACGUGUAGCAGUGAAAUGCGUAGAGAUGUGGAGGAAUACCGAUGGCGAAGGCAGCCCCCUGGGCCAAUACUGACGCUCAUGCACGAAAGCGUGGGGAGCAAACAGGAUUAGAUACCCUGGUAGUCCACGCCCUAAACGAUGUCAACUAGUUGUUGGGGAUUCAUUUCCUUAGUAACGUAGCUAACGCGUGAAGUUGACCGCCUGGGGAGUACGGUCGCAAGAUUAAAACUCAAAGGAAUUGACGGGGACCCGCACAAGCGGUGGAUGAUGUGGAUUAAUUCGAUGCAACGCGAAAAACCUUACCUACCCUUGACAUGGUCGGAAUCCCGCUGAGAGGUGGGAGUGCUCGAAAGAGAACCGGCGCACAGGUGCUGCAUGGCUGUCGUCAGCUCGUGUCGUGAGAUGUUGGGUUAAGUCCCGCAACGAGCGCAACCCUUGUCCUUAGUUGCUACGCAAGAGCACUCUAAGGAGACUGCCGGUGACAAACCGGAGGAAGGUGGGGAUGACGUCAAGUCCUCAUGGCCCUUAUGGGUAGGGCUUCACACGUCAUACAAUGGUCGGAACAGAGGGUUGCCAACCCGCGAGGGGGAGCUAAUCCCAGAAAACCGAUCGUAGUCCGGAUUGCACUCUGCAACUCGAGUGCAUGAAGCUGGAAUCGCUAGUAAUCGCGGAUCAGCAUGCCGCGGUGAAUACGUUCCCGGGUCUUGUACACACCGCC
Molecule: ribosomal RNA, 1368 nt
Filed under: uncultured beta proteobacterium
Lineage: Bacteria; Pseudomonadati; Pseudomonadota; Betaproteobacteria
Description: bacterial SSU rRNA
Rfam family: Bacterial small subunit ribosomal RNA
Source: RNAcentral